This 520-nucleotide ribosomal RNA is filed under the name uncultured Entrophospora. RNAcentral describes it as "SSU rRNA". It matches the Rfam family "Eukaryotic small subunit ribosomal RNA", at positions 569 to 1083 of the family's 1831-position model. Lineage: Eukaryota; Fungi; Glomeromycota; Glomeromycetes; Entrophosporales; Entrophosporaceae. The record is from RNAcentral.
AGCAGCCGCGGUAAUUCCAGCUCCAAUAGCGUAUAUUAAAGUUGUUGCAGUCAAAAAGCUCGUAGUUGAAUUUCGGGAUUGACACAUCGGUCGUGCCUUAAGGGGUGUGAACUGGCGUAGUCAAUUUCUCACCUUCUGGAGAACCGCGAUGUCCUUAAUUGGGUGCCGCGAGGAACCAGGACCUUUACUUUGAAAAAAUUAGAGUGUUUAAAGCAGGCAUUUUUGCUUGAAUACAUUUGCAUGGAAUAAUAAAAUAGGACGGCAUGAUUCUAUUUUGUUGGUUUCUAGGAUCACCGUAAUGAUUAAUAGGGAUAGUUGGGGGCAUUAGUAUUCAAUUGUCAGAGGUGAAAUUCUUGGAUUUAUUGAAGACUAACUACUGCGAAAGCAUUUGCCAAGGAUGUUUUCAUUAAUCAAGAACGAAAGUUAGGGGAUCGAAGACGAUCAGAUACCGUCGUAGUCUUAACCAUAAACUAUGCCGACUAGGAAUCAGACGAUGUUAAUUUUUUAAUGACUCGUUUGG